UACGUAGGGAGCAAGCGUUAUCCGGAUUUAUUGGGUGUAAAGGGUGCGUAGACGGAGAUACAAGUUGGUUGUGAAAUCCCUCGGCUCAACUGAGGAACUGCAACCAAAACUAUAUCCCUUGAGUGCUGGAGGGGAAAGUGGAAUUCCUAGUGUAGCGGUGAAAUGCGUAGAUAUUAGGAGGAACACCAGUGGCGAAGGCGACUUUCUGGACAGUAACUGACGUUGAGGCACGAAAGCGUGGGGAGCAA
This 248-nucleotide ribosomal RNA is filed under the name uncultured Oscillospiraceae bacterium. RNAcentral describes it as "partial 16S ribosomal RNA". It matches the Rfam family "Bacterial small subunit ribosomal RNA", at positions 524 to 771 of the family's 1533-position model. The record is from RNAcentral. Lineage: Bacteria; Bacillati; Bacillota; Clostridia; Eubacteriales; Oscillospiraceae.